AAUCAACGCUGGCGGCGUGCCUAACACAUGCAAGUCGAACGCGAAAGCCCCGCAAGGGGUAAGUAGAGUGGCAAACGGGUGAGUAACACGUGGGUGACCUGCCUUCGAGUGGGGGAUAACGUCCCGAAAGGGACGCUAAUACCGCAUGACAUCCUGCUUUUGAAAAAGCGGAGAUCAAAGCUGGGGAUCGCAAGACCUAGCGCUUGAAGAGGGGCCCGCGCCUGAUUAGCUAGUUGGUGAGGUAACGGCUCACCAAGGCGACGAUCAGUAUCCGGCCUGAGAGGGCGGACGGAAACACUGGGACUGAGACACGGCCCAGACUCCUACGGGAGGCAGCAGUGGGGAAUUGUUCGCAAUAGGCGCAAGCCUGACGACGCAACGCCGCGUGGAGGACGAAGAGCUUCGGGUCGUAAACUCCUGUCGAGCGGGACGAACGCUUCGCGGAUGAAUAAUCCGCGGAAUUGACGGUACCGCUAAAGGAAGCCCCGGCUAACUCCGUG
Molecule: ribosomal RNA, 500 nt
Filed under: uncultured bacterium
Lineage: Bacteria
Description: partial 16S ribosomal RNA
Rfam family: Bacterial small subunit ribosomal RNA
Source: RNAcentral